GGGCAGUCGUGGACCACCAGCUUGACAUUCCCAAACGCGCUGGCCUGAUACUCGGUGAACACGGGACGUGCGACCGUACUGGUGGCGUUCAGCAACAAGCUGCUUUCGUCCCCCGAGACCAGCGGGCUUCUCCCCAGUGGAUUUCUUCUAGUGGAUUUCUUCUAAACUACAAGGCUGCAAUGCUGUCAAUUCUGUUUGGAGAAGCCAAGGACAAGCUGUCAGGUUGUGAGGUAGCCCUGGGAGAAGAAAGCCAACUACUACACCUUGAAAACACUCAAGCAGCCUAUGGAAAGGUUCACUUGGCAAGGAACUGAGGCUUGCAAGCAACCAUGUGGAAGAAUCUAUCAAGAUAUGUAGCUGCUCAAAAACCCUUAUUGGACAAUGAUAACUACAGAUUGGAUGAAUGAUAUAUAUACAGAAUAAUAGACGGUCUGCAGUGAAUAUACCCAGAAUUAUUUACCAAAUAAAAAAGCAGAAAGGGAAAUCAAAGACAAAUGUUCUUGUUGUAUCUGUUUUCAAGUUCUUAUUGAUUGAGCUCAUAAUGAAUUAAUUAUAUCAGUUAAUUAAUUAGGACAUGUCACAUGAGUUAGUAUUCACUAUGAUGGGUAAAGUAAAUAAAAAUAAAGUGCUUCAUAUGUAGGGGAAAAGUUUUCUUCCCAUAACGUGUGAUAAACAUUGUAUGUAUGUGUGUGUAUGUGUGUAUUUAUGUAUGUAAUGUGUCUUAUGUGUUCUGUAGUUACAUAUCAGUGGUUGACUUCAUGACGAAUUUGUUAAUGGUAAAAUUUUUCAUUCUAUCUGAA
Molecule: long non-coding RNA, 800 nt
Organism: Prionailurus viverrinus (fishing cat)
Lineage: Eukaryota; Metazoa; Chordata; Mammalia; Carnivora; Felidae
Exons: 5
Source: RefSeq, a predicted model, not a curated record